GUGUCCCUGCCCAUGGCAGGGGGGUGAAACUGGGUGAUCUUUAACUUCCCUUCCAACCCAAACCUGUCUGGGAUUCUGUGAUCCCUCAGAAAAUAACUUUAGCAGCCGCUCAGCAUUUAAAAGGUAAUGGGUAGGAAAACACCCAGGUAUUUUGCCCCCACCAUCCCCACAUCUCAGCCUCCUCAGUGACUUUUGGGCUGAGGCAGCUACAGCUUUCCACUCUUGAAAAAUUCCAUCGUUUUAAUCAUGGAAAAAGCCUGAGCAAUGCACACACAGAGCUGUCAAAUGUGAGAAACAAACAUUCUGGGAGAAAAAGAAAGGCCUUUUUUUUUUUUUUUUUUUAAUUCCAAUCUCAAUUAUAGGAAUCAAAUGCGUCAUCUGGAUCAAUAGUAAGUUGAAAUUGCUCAGCCAGAAAGAUUUUAAAUAUAAAAAAGCUGCAGCUGAGAGCCUUCCUUUGAGCUCAUGUAUUAUUAUAACUGAAAUUAUGAUAGUGCACCAUGUUUACAGGCUCCCUCGGAAAGCUCAGGUUAAGAACAAAGGUUUAAUCAAUGUACCUGUACGUAGUAACAGGAUCUUAAACCCAGCCUGUGUGUACUGGGAUCUUAUCAUGGCCAGGAACAGCAGGGAUUUAAUGUCCUUUGAUUCCCACUGCCAUGUGGUACAUUCCCAGGUCAUCAUUCCCUGCAUUUUCCCCCAGAGGCGGCUGCGAUUCAAGCAGGAUGUGUUUGCAGAGAACAUGCAAAUUAAACUGAAACGAGGCAGCCUUUGAAAAUACAAAAUAUUACUGAUCACUUAACCUUUGUAGAAUAAGAGCUGACGUGCAGACAAGUGGCUGGGCUUCAUCCAGCCCGAAGGAAAAUGUUAAAACCCAAGAAAAUGUGUCAGAGUUCUUUGGCUGGUUCAGUUUGUAAGGAAGGGUCGGGGAAGCUCCGUGUCCGUGGAGAAAGAGGGGCUCCCAAGGAAUGAGGCUGCAGGUUUUGGGUGUGGUGGCAUCAGAGAGACACCAGCACAGGCAGUGUCAGGAACCAGGUGCAUGGUCUGCCAGGGACUUUCAGAUCAACUUGGUUUCACAUGUGAGUGAAAAAAAGAGUCAGAGCGAGAGAAGGUGGGUGGUUAAAGAGGGCUGAGCAUGAUGCAAAAAAUCUGUUGGACCGGCAGAUCCAGCUCACAUUUGAAAAUCACCCCCUUUAUGGCUCCCGUGAAAUCACCUUUUAAUAAAGAGGCUAUAAAAGGGACCUGUAAUUUCGUGGUUGGUGCAUGAGCCGGAAGAUGAACCAGCUGACUUUCACAGAGCUUUAUUACAGCUGUGGUCCAGCUGGAGUCGGGGAUAUUUACUGUGUGUGAGCACAGAGAUGAUGCAGAAAUCCACAGCACUGACCUUUGGUGCCAGGCAGUGAGUCAAAGCCAUCCCUGCCCGGCCCCAGCUGCCUCCCAGCUGUUCAGUAUCAGGUCAGGCAGGAAGGUUUCCCCAUCCACAGGUGGAGCCCUUUGACUCACAGCUUCCCCACAUCCACCUUCUCAACUCUCAGAGUAAUUAAAUAAAUCCCAGAAGCCACAGCCCGAGGUCCUUGGGAGGAUGUCACCCAGUGGUAUGUCUGAGCAGGGGGAUGGGGCUGUGCUGCUCUGCUUGGGUGUUUGCUUCUUAAAUUGGGCCAGAUUUGAUCUUCAGCAUUUAUAUUUGAGGCUUUGAUGGAUCCAUGAGCAUUUUGGGGCUGGGCAGUUGCUCAGAACUCAUCAGCAAGAUGGGAUUGUGUCUGAAAAGAGUCAGUGCUGGGCAGGCAGGAUUUUUGCUUUUAGGGGUGAUAAGAGGGUGGACUUUGUUUUUCACGUGGGUUAAAAUACUGUGAUCCAGCAGACGGCUGGUGCUCUAUAUCAAGAUUAAAUUCUGGGGAAAGUCUGUCAGAAUCUGGGUCACUUGCUCCUUUGUGGUCUCCCAUUUAUAUAUCAAGCUGACCCGACUCACGUCUGCAGACUGUGAUGGGAGAACUGGGAGAGCUUCUGGUGAAGUUAUUUAAGGGCUCAGACAGGUACGAGCACACAAGUCAUUUCACAACCCUGACAGGAGAAGCUCGGCUGCUGUGCUGCCUGUACUUCAUCGGUGCUUCCCCUUGCCCUUGAUGCUUUGUGCCUUUCCAGUUCUGCUUUUUAUGUCCUCAAAACGAGAGUGUGGUCUCUUGAGGCCGGGAUGAGACAGAGCCAGCAGAGGCUGGAGUGGAUCUUCCCAGCUACAAGUUCCCUUGUCUCGUUAACCACGUUGCAUAAGGAGGUGCAAUAGUGCUGAGCUCAAAAUUACACCUCUUCCUUUCCUGCCUGACACAGCAGCAGGGAGAGAGAACUGCAAACGAGUUUAAAGUAUUGCUUCCUCAGAGCAAAAUUUGGGAGAUGAGAGGUUUGGGUUUUGUCUGGCUGACCGAAAGCCCCCGGGGAGCUCAGGAUGCUGGUGCCUGUGACUGCCACAGCCGUGUGAUUCCAGCUCCAGGAUGGCCCAGGGCACCCACCCGCCUGCUUUGCAACAAGCUGUGAUUUAUGGGAUGCCUGUGGAGUGGCUGGUCCCUGUGUGAUAAUGAAGGGGAGUCUGUGAUGUCCCUGCUCUGAGAGCAGGGAGCAGACUCAUCCACCCCGGGGGUCCCCUGUGUGUCCCUGCACCCCAGCUGACAAUGUGACCCCACUUUCCAGCCCUUCCCUGGGCUGUGAUCAGCAGGUUGGGUCCGAUGGCUGCAAGCUGAUCUCAUUUUAACCCGGAGGGAUGCAGGUGUGGUCCUGCUCUUGGGUUGUCACUGCUUCUCCCCUCAUGCUGCCCCUGCCAGCUUCGGUUAAAUAUCAUUGAAUCCAUCUCUUCCAUGAGAUUAACUCGCUCUCAGCCCCUCAGGAUGAACCACACACUGGGCUGGGACUGAUGGAGGCCAGAAUCUGGGAAACAUUCAGUCUGGAGCAAGGUGAGCUGAAUCCUAACCUGCUUCAUGCCUCACGCUGUGGCUGCAGACCUUGAAGCAGGGAGUGAUAAAGCCUCCUUUAAAUGGUGAUUUAAAGGCUGGCUGCCCUGAUGAGCUCGGGCUUUAUCUGAUUUGGGACCUACUACGGCCAUCUCAGGGAGGUGCUGGAGUGAUAACAUAAUGCAAUAUCUGGAAAGGUGGUUUCUGGCUGUGCAGUGAGAAUAAAUGCAGUAGAUUGUAACCCGGGAGAAAACCAUUAUCAAUAUCUUCUCUGGUUUUAUACACAUGGCUCAGGGACGUCACUUAAUAACUUCUGUGCUGAACUCCAAACUGCCUCCUGAGUUACCAGAUCUCUUUAAAACCACACACAGGCUUCCCAGUUGUUUGAAAAAAAAAAAUUUGUUAGAUCUGAAAGGCCUUUCCAGCCCUGGUAACAUACUGUAUUCCCUCUCCUCCAAAGUUUGAUCCACCAGGUGCAAAAAUCCUUUCAAAGAGCAAGAAGGUGGACAGGUACCUCAAGAGAAGAGACCCUUCCAUGUAACAGGUGUUUUGCCAUCAACCAUUUGAGCAUCUGUCCCUGAAUUUUUCCUCCUCUCCAGGACAACUCUUAGCAAUGGAUGUUUAGGGGCUGAAGUUUCUCUUCCUUUAUCUCUCUAAGCUUCUGAUGACAACCCUGGGAUUUUCCAGGAUGAAAUGGAAAGAGCCCUGAGCAAGUUUGGAGGGAAAUCUCUGGAAGCAGGCCAUUAGCAAAACAUUAAAGGCUGAGCUGGGUUUGCCUUUGGCCAAGUACACACAGGCUUCCAUGGCUCCUGCAGGCUUCCCAGCCCGGAUUUGAGAUGCUCCUGGAUGUUUCUGCUCCAUCCAUCCCUCAGGUGAGGAGAACCAGGUCUUCCCUCCUCCACCCCACACAGCCCAGGGGCCAUCAUGGGCUCAGUGACUUGUGCUGGGGUGAUGGCUGGAAAAAACCCCCUGACCAACUGAGGCAGACACAAAGCAACAGCUCUCCAAAAUCCACCAGGUGACAUUGCUUUUUCCCUACCAACCAGUGAGAAAAUGAGCAAUUCCAGCCUCCCUACAGUGCUAACUACUCCUACAGAGGUGCUUGGACAGGCCAUGCUGAUUAACUCCAUGUCCCCUUACAGCAUUCCUGGGCCUGUGCUCCCAGGAAGCUCAGCUUGUCCCAAGUGUCUCCGGCUUCCAAGAGCCACAAAACCUGGGAGAAUAUCAGCACCAUGAAGUGAUGGCAUUGCAGCAACCCAUCAGCAAGGCUGAUGUCCCCACAGGUCAUGUCUUCCACAUCUUGACCAAGAAACCUCUGGGGUUUGUUUCCUUUUUGAAGCUGGGACAGAAGGAUGCCACCCUGAGACAAUAAUUUCCUUACCUCUCCCCCUGUAACUACUUGAUUUCCCCCUCUCUUGCAUUUCUGAUACCUGGCAGGUAUUUUUAUAAUCCCAUAACUGUUAUUUUUCUCCAGCUCUCAUUUUCUGUUUUGCAGCCUGGCCACCUGGUCAGAGCCUUUUCCAUCUGUAUGCAGCGUGCACGGCUGGAGCAGCCCACAGGAGACCAGGAUUAAAAACUGUGAGCUAACACACAGCAGCUCAAGGCUCAGCAACACAAAUACCUCCUUUCCCAUUUUUUUUUUGGGCACUUCAGCCAGGCAGAGUGUCACCCUGACAUGGAGGAGGGGGAGAAGGCAUCAAUCUAUACAGGGUUUGUUGGGGUCCUUGAAGAGGAACUGCUUAUCCUGGAUGAGGAUCCAAGGAAGAUUUUUCUUCUUUCACUUGGAUUAGGCAUUGCCCUGUGUGCAAGCUUAAGGUAGGAAAAGGGAAGCUGAAAUAUAGUUGGAUCUAUGGGUCCAGCUAUGAGAUUUGUCAUUCCAUGGGACCUCUUCCACAACAGAUGUGGAAUGAUGAGGUGGUGAGUCUGGGCUGGGACCACCCGGAGACACCAGCAAGGAAAAGCAUUUUCCUCUUUCACAGGGCUUCAGCACCAUGAAAUUGUUUUAUUUUAUUACUGAUCCAGGAAAAACUGAGAGGCCUCUGAGGACAUUUCUGAAGUCAGCAGCAACCUAGAGGAUGAAACCUUCCUCUCUCCCACCACGGCAGGGGGGCUGUGCUGGCCAUGUGGCACCAGCAAAGCCCCACAGUCAGGACACUGGAUGAUACUGGAAAAGGGAGCUCCUCUGUCAGGAGAGUGCAGUGUCCUCUCCAGGGCCGGGAUGACGAGGCACCUACAGGCCAUGCCCUUGCAGAUGCCACGAGUCUGUGGACAAUGAAUAUGAUGAACAGAAAGGUUUUUCUUCCUGUGUUCCCACAUGGUGAUUAAUCUUCCCAGCGUUUGAAGGUGGGGAACAGCUGCCUUGGGGCUGCACGGAGGAGGAAGAUGCCUCAGAAGCUUCGUCCUCCCCGAAACGUUCCCCACUGGGCCACGGGUGAGUAAGAGGCCGGGGUGGGAAGUGGGAACAGCCACAUCCAUCCCACGCAGCAGGAGCCCUCCGUUCCCAGCAGGGGGGGGGACUCAUCAGCUCCUCAGAUCAGGCUGCAGAAAGCUGGGCCACAAAUUGGGCUCCACGCCACGGUGACGUGUCAGGAAUCCUCCAGAGGUGGCCCCUUGUUCUGUCACCGCCGCGUUUGUUCCUCGGGAGAACCACAUUAACUCUGACCCCGCUGCCCUCACCACAGAGCCUCUCUUCCCAUCUCCCUUCUCUAUCUUUUCAUCGCUGUGAUGCCUAAAAAUCACCAGCUGGAGUGGUUCUGAGAGCCAGAGAGGGCUUUCUGGGGAAUAACUGGAGUGCUAUUCCAGCAUCACGAGACAUCCCAGCCUCUCCUGCAGCCACAACGGGAGCAUUUUCUGCAGUGAGAGCAAAAUAAACAUCAAGACUCUUUAAAAGAUAGUCUGGAGGGUUGAGUGCAAUUAUCGGGCCAAACUCUGUUGCCUUGAGUGUUAUCUAUCACUUUGUAGUUUUCUUCCUCAUAGAAAGGUGGAUAUUAAAUUCUAUUUUUCUUAUGGCCAUAAAAAAAAAAGUAAUUUUCUCUAAAUUAUUUCUUCCAGACCUGCUAAAAACAAGAAUCAUAAUGCAGCAGGACCCCCAUCUUCUCAGUAAUUACACUCUGCCUCCUAACUCCUUCAACACCAAUUUCUCAAUUUAUUUGGCUUCCAUCUGGAACCACAGUCACAGGCAGAGCUGGGCUCUGUCUUAUUAUUACAUGGACAAAAUUGUUUUUAAAAUGUAAUUAAACAUUUACCUUGAAGACAAUGCUUUGUCUUCUUUAAGAAGCAUAAUAUCUUAAUUUAACCUAAUCUAGAAAACCUUCCAUCUCUGAGCUUUUACCUCCAAGACAAUGUUAUGCUAAACACAAAGCAAAACAAAAAG
Corapipo altera (White-ruffed manakin) is the source of this 6306-nucleotide long non-coding RNA. RefSeq lists it as uncharacterized. The record is from RefSeq and is a predicted model, not a curated record. NCBI's taxonomy places the organism in Eukaryota, Metazoa, Chordata, Aves, Passeriformes, Pipridae. The transcript is spliced from 4 exons.